UCGCGCCCUGGGCCAAAGGCAGGCGCCAAACCGCUGCGCCACCCAGGGAUCCCCCCAUGUUUCUGUUUAGAUGCCCCAAGUCACCUUCUAAUCUUCUCAAUGUGAACAAAUACAAUGAUUUCAAUAUUGGCAGUGUCAUACUCAGGGACCAUGUGGCUUGAACGUUUGCCUUUCUGUGUUUUAGAUUGGAACCCCCACGUUGUAGAUGAACACAAAGAACAUUUCUAGGAAAUACAAAGUAGGCAGAUGCUUUCCAAGAUCCAUACUCUGAGUAUAGGAUGUUCUAGUCUUUUUGGAUUUAAGGAUGUUAUUUAUUCACAAUUAUCAAGGGCUGUGAAGCUUUGAGGGAAUCACAGAUCAGCUUGUAUGAUGCGACAUAUAUAAUUCAGCAAUGGCUCACUAGACCUGGCAUUUGCACCUUUGAAUUUCUGUAAGUCACAGUUUUUGGAGCACAGCACUCUUCCUAGGUAGGAACAGAUUUCAUGUAGAAAGCGUGUUUAGAGCCUGUACUUGUAAAUGCUGGCAAACCUUUUGAUUGAUGUUCAAGUUGAGCAUUGGAGAAGAAGAAAAAACAGGUAGGAGAUAGCCUUGAAUCCCUCAGAAUAAAUACCCGACAAUUAAACAAACAAACAAGAAAAACCCAACUAGUUUUUUUUUUUUUUCACAAGAUAAGUGUUUCUCUUUUGAGAGCCUGCAGAGUUUAUUAUUCUGUUCAAACUUAAAACAUCAGUCGAAAUCCCAGUAGUGCAGGGGUUUGAAAUCAACAAACUAAAGAAGCCUCAAGUGACAGCUGCUGUUGUUUUGGGAAUUAUCAUGUUUGGCACACGAAGAGAGCACCUGAUGAGGACAGGCCCGCCUAUGACCUAUGUGAAUGGGACAGACUCACAAGGCACAUAAGUCUACUGGGCCUUGGAUAUGGUCCGUAAGAAGCUAGUUAUGAGUGACGUGGCUCAUCAUCCAUGGACACCGCUGGAGUGAGGAGAGCCCAUUGGGAGAGAAGGCUGCUGGCAGGACCAAUGCAGUGGAGACAGAUGAAUUGUAGUCCUCAGCUGAUUGAAAAUAAAAAUAGGUGUAGAUUUGGGGCUGGUGACUUCCGUAAGUCCUGAGGGGGCUACAUACCACUCUGCUCUGCGAACGGAAAUGAAGAUACCCAGCAGGGGUUUUCCCUGGUCAGCCUUUACCCUCUGUUGUGCUGUUUUACAGUUAGUGAAAUUUUCUUCUAGUAGCAUUGAUGGAUCCGUUGGGACUAGGAUCAAAUUUAUCAUAAAUAACAGGGAUACUUCCUGCUUGUAAAUGGGAUAUCAGAGAUGAUGGUGGUGAUGACACUAAUUAAUAUUAAUAAGUAAAUAACAUUAUUGAACAGUUAACAUGUACCAGAUAUAAUUCCCUGUGCUUUACGUUUAAUUCUAACGAUCCUAUAGUAAGUGCCAUGAGCCCUGUUUUAUGAAUGAGGAAAUGGACAUGCAGUGAAUAUCAGUCACUGACCCAGAGUCACCAACUGGAAAGUGAUGUAGUUGAGGGUUGAGCCAAAGUCAUCUAGGCUUGGAACAGGUGCGGUGAAAAGUGAUCUAUUUCACAUGUAAACAGCUGCCAUGAACUUAUCUCUCUUGACUUUGAUUCUGGAAAGAGGGUGACUAGUAGAUGAUCUAAGUUUAAAUUCUAAGCCCUAGAGUCAGAAUCGUCUUUCCUUAGUUGCAGCUCGAAAAACAUCCUCCAGUAAGCAUGGGUCUUUCUUACGGUUCUCACAUCUCAGACUGGGAGUGUCCAGUGAGGCCAACUUCCCUGGGAAUCUUCAGGAAAUAGAAAUAACCAGGGGAAAAUGAACGGUAAUUACCUAGCAUUAAGUUGAGACCUUUUGUGUGAAAGGCAUGUGAAGAUAGGUCUUUCAGCGACUUAAUGAGCCUUAUCACGGGCCUUCAGCUUUUCUGAAUAAAUUUGGAGGUAAUAAAAUGUUGGACCUUGCUUUCAAGCCAAAUUAUACUACAACAUCAUUUGGAAAGACCUUUGGAACAAGUGCCUAAAAGUUUUUUCCUCUUCCUCUCUGAAGAUAGAAUCAGUUUCUCCUGACUAAUGAGAACCCAGAGUAAUUUCAGAAAAUGCCAGUAAAUAAAAGUAUUUAAGGAAAUGAAAUCAAAUCUGAUUUGUAAAAAUGAACUCAAAGGAGUGCUGUAUCCUGUUGGCCCUUCACAGCUUUGUUCAUUCUUUCAGCAAAUAUAUUUUAGAAUCUCCUAACUGCUGCCAGGCACCAAGUUAGGCACUGGUGAUCCUGCAAAGAACCUGAUAGACAAAGGAGUGCUACACAAUUAGUGGGAGAACGAAGGGGAAGUGAUUAGAGAUUUUGAAAAGUGCUAGGCAGGCAGUCAUAGGGAGCUGUACUGGAGAGUGAGGGCCUACCCAGCUAGGUCAAGGACAUAAUAAGCUCACAGGAGAUGACAUUUCAUCGAGAUCACAACCUCAUAACCUCCCAUCAGAUAAAACUAUGUCAGUGUGUAUGUCUGUAGAAGAAUAAAUGUCUAUUUUAGUGACAAUGUAUUCAGUCUUUUUGUAUGGUUUUAUAUGUCCACAUUUACAUCCUUAUGCCCUCUUAUAUCUCCCUGUGACAUCCAGAGCUGUCCAGGGACUUUUUAUAUUACAAAAUAUACAGACACUCUUUUUCAGACUAUGUACUCACUCUUCUAAAUCAAUUUCUGGCAUUGUAUCUCAUGGCUCAUUUGCUACAAAAGUCAGGUGAUUUUAGUUAAUAUAGGAAGAAUUUCAGGACAGGAAUGAAUCUACCCCAUUUUCCAUUCUGUGGUACAUUUGAUUGAGUAAACUGAAUUUAAACAGAAGGCACCCGCCCCUCAAGCAAAGUGAUCUCUCUUGGGUGAAUUAAAUCAUGUGUCAUGUUGCUUAAAAGAUGUUGCUACUCUGUAGAAAUGUUGAGGGGGGCAGAAAGCAUCACAAACUUUACUCCCCCAUUUUCUGUUUGUAUUCAUCUUUUAAAAUAGUACAAGAGAACCCAUUGUUAAGAGUAAAAUGAUUGGAAGCUUUCUUUAAAGUUGGCUCAUUAUAUUUUUUGUACUGUAAACUAUCUGGUAAAUCUAAUUUAAAUGCAAUUUUGUUUAAUGACUAGUGUUGAUACCAUGAUUCAUCACUCAUUUACUUAAUUAGUAACACUUGACUUUAUGUACCAAAAAUGUCCAAUUUGCACACUGAUAUUUUUUCAGUUAAAUAAAAUUAUGUUUUGGGAA
Long non-coding RNA from Canis lupus familiaris (dog), 3230 nucleotides. RefSeq lists it as uncharacterized. The record is from RefSeq and is a predicted model, not a curated record. The transcript has 2 exons. Lineage: Eukaryota; Metazoa; Chordata; Mammalia; Carnivora; Canidae.